This 312-nucleotide ribosomal RNA is filed under the name Rhizoecus dianthi. Its description in RNAcentral is "partial 28S ribosomal RNA". Lineage: Eukaryota; Metazoa; Arthropoda; Insecta; Hemiptera; Pseudococcidae. The record is from RNAcentral.
AAACCGUUCGGGGGUAAACGGACAGAGCCCGUGAAUCCGGGCGGUGGAAUUCAGAGUCGAUGGCCGUYUCGCGACGGUUGUCGGUUUAAUAUUUCCAUCGCCGUACGAUUUCGGACGUCGCGACCCGCUUGGUGUCGGUCUUUAGGAGCCGCGUUAAAGUUCGUUUCGGCGCUUCGCUCUCGGGUGGAGUGUCGUUGUGAGUGCGUGGAUUUCCGGCUGACUUGCCAGGCGGUAGAAAGCGGUGAACUCGGUUGUCCGUGUAAGCGGCAGCCGAGCGACCGGUCUGCGACGAAUUUUCGGGUCUCUUUCCGA